GGUGCCCGAAAGGGAACCGCAACACAGGUGCUGCAUGGCUGUCGUCAGCUCGUGUCGUGAGAUGUUGGGUUAAGUCCCGCAACGAGCGCAACCCUUGCCAUUAGUUGCUACAUUCAGUUGGGCACUCUAGUGGGACUGCCGGUGACAAACCGGAGGAAGGUGGGGAUGACGUCAAGUCCCCAUGGCCCUUAUGGGUAGGGCUUCACACGUAAUACAAUGGCCGGUACAGAGGGCUGCCAACCCGCGAGGGGGAGCAAAUCCCAGAAAGCCGGUCGUAGUCCGGAUUGUUCUCUGCAACUCGAGAGCAUGAAGCCGGAAUCGCUAGUAAUCGCGGAUCAGCAUGUCGCGGUGAAUACGUUCCCGGGUCUUGUACACACCGCCCGUCACACCAUGGGAGUGGGUUUCACCAGAAGUAUUUAGCCUAA
RNAcentral lists this ribosomal RNA (425 nucleotides) under uncultured soil bacterium. RNAcentral's name for it is "bacterial SSU rRNA". It matches the Rfam family "Bacterial small subunit ribosomal RNA", at positions 1012 to 1438 of the family's 1533-position model. The record is from RNAcentral.